GAUACUAUAUGAUACAGGCUAAUUCACUCCAACAAGUUGUAUUUAAUCUACUACUCACACUUACAGACAAAUACCCUUAACUUACAAAUUCUGUACCUGUAAAACAGAUCUUACCUCAGUGACACAAUUUUAACUAUUAUCACACCACAACAAGCUGUUACAAUUAACCAUUUUUACUUUACCUUCCACAUAUUUCAUUUUGUGAAUUAAUCAAUAUUUACAAGAAACUUUCAAAGCAGAAUAUUUAAAUUAGCCAAUAAACAAACUGGAGAAGUAUAAAUAGUGUCCAGAAUUAAUUUCCAUCCUUUCCAAAGGUUAUUUAAUUGAUAAAUAAAUUAUUCCAAGUUUUUAAAAAAAGAAAAACAGGCCUGUCUGUCCAGAAUUAAUUUCCAUAUUUUCCAAAGGUAAUUUAAUAAAUUAAUUACUCAAAGUUUCAAAGAGAAAAAAACAGGCCUGUUCAGAAUUAAAUUCCAUCUUGUCCAAAGGUUAUUUAAUAAAUAAAUUAUUCCUAGUUUAAAAAAAAAACAGGCCUGUCCAGAUUUAAUUUCCUUCCUUUCCAAAGGUAAUUUAAUAGAUAAAUUAUUCUAAGUUAAAAAA
Molecule: long non-coding RNA, 597 nt
Organism: Pocillopora damicornis (cauliflower coral)
Lineage: Eukaryota; Metazoa; Cnidaria; Anthozoa; Scleractinia; Pocilloporidae
Source: RefSeq, a predicted model, not a curated record